This 119-nucleotide non-coding RNA is filed under the name Mucor circinelloides. RNAcentral describes it as "TPP sequence". It matches the Rfam family "TPP riboswitch aptamer (THI element)". From Rfam's summary of the family: Vitamin B(1) in its active form thiamin pyrophosphate (TPP) is an essential coenzyme that is synthesised by coupling of pyrimidine and thiazole moieties in bacteria. The previously detected thiamin-regulatory element, thi box was extended, resulting in a new, highly conserved RNA secondary structure, the THI element, which is widely distributed in eubacteria and also occurs in some archaea. Lineage: Eukaryota; Fungi; Mucoromycota; Mucoromycetes; Mucorales; Mucoraceae. The record is from RNAcentral. RNAcentral also lists the same sequence under 1 other name.
AUAAUGCGCUGGGGGAGCCUGGAUUUGCAUUUGCAUCUUCUUAAAUAUGGCUGAGAACUUUAAACUCUUAUACACCUGAUCAGGUUAAUACCUGCGAAGGGAAGCGUUUCUGUUUAAAA